This 428-nucleotide ribosomal RNA is filed under the name uncultured archaeon. RNAcentral's name for it is "bacterial SSU rRNA". It matches the Rfam family "Archaeal small subunit ribosomal RNA", at positions 475 to 903 of the family's 1478-position model. The record is from RNAcentral.
ACCAGCUCUUCAAGUGGUCGGGAUAAUUAUUGGGCUUAAAGUGUCCGUAGCCGGUUUAGUAAGUUCCUGGUAAAAUCGGGUAGCUUAACUAUCUGCAUGCUAGGAAUACUGUUAUACUAGAGGGCGGGAGAGGUCUGAGGUACUACAGGGGUAGGGGUGAAAUCUUAUAAUCCUUGUAGGACCACCAGUGGCGAAGGCGUCAGACUGGAACGCGCCUGACGGUGAGGGACGAAAGCCAGGGGAGCGAACCGGAUUAGAUACCCGGGUAGUCCUGGCCGUAAACGAUGCAUACUAGGUGAUGGCACGGCCAUGAGCCAUGUCAGUGCCGUAGGGAAACCGUUAAGUGUGCCGCCUGGGAAGUACGGUCGCAAGGCUAAAACUUAAAGGAAUUGGCGGGGGAGCACCACAAGGGGUGAAGCCUGCGGUUU